Molecule: transfer RNA, 81 nt
Filed under: Caudoviricetes sp.
Lineage: Duplodnaviria; Heunggongvirae; Uroviricota; Caudoviricetes
Description: tRNA-Thr
Rfam family: tRNA
About the family: Transfer RNA (tRNA) molecules are approximately 80 nucleotides in length. Their secondary structure includes four short double-helical elements and three loops (D, anti-codon, and T loops).
Source: RNAcentral
GCUGGAGUACCAAAGUAGACAAAUGGAAUUGACUUGUAAUCAAUCGGGAAACCUUCGUGGGUGCAAAUCCUACCUCCAGCA